UCUUCCCAUAAAAUUAAGGCUUUGGGCACAACCUUUUCCAAUCCAUAGUGCCCCCCCCUUUUUUUUUUUUGCUAGAGUACAGAAUGAAUGUGCAAGUGUUGGAUUUAUGGGCUGGAAACCCCCCAAAAGGCCUCCAUUGUUGAAAGGAAGAAGGAGCUCCGGACGUUGUUUAGAAGUCAGACCUCAUUACAGGUAGUCCUCACUUAGUGACUAUGAGUGAAGUCAUUGUCAGCCUUCCUGGUAGGACAGGCAAGGAAACAUAAUCAGGUGAUCUAAUUCUACUUUUAUUAUAAGGCUACAUUAACAGAAUCUUGCAAGUCUGAAAGUACAACUCUCCCGCCAUCUCUUUUACAGCCUGGGAAGUUAAGAAGGAUCCUUUCUGAGUUUCUUUCUCUGCGCGUUAUGCAGCUGAAGGCUGUACCCUCUUUUAUCUGGUUGUUCUCAAGGCUGCCUCUCUCCCCAGCCCAUUCCCUCUCCCAAAGUCAUUCCCACAUACCAUUUUACAUUUGCCAAGUGAAACAUCAGGUGACUCAAUGGGCUCACAGUGUCACUUUCCAUUCAGCUGUUAAGCGAAACAUGACAUGAUGAACAACUCGCAAUUUUACCACUGGCUUCUGCUUAUUGGAAGCUGGCAGUGAAGUGUGCAGGUGACUGUGGGAGGCUGCAACAGUUGUAGAUUCAAGAGCUGGUGCAAAGUGACUUUUUCAGUGCUGCUGAAACUUCAAACGGUCUCAAAAGCAGGAUAGUCAUUAAGUGAGAUCUACCUCUAGGUCAGGGGUUUCCAACCUUGACAACUUUAAGCCUUGUGGACUUCAACUUCCAGAGUUCCUUAGCCACUUGGCUGAGUAACUCUGGGAGUUGAAGUCCACAAGUCUUAAAGUUGCCAAGGUUGGAGACCCCGGCUCUUCUAGGUAAUCUUCCCUGACCCAUCCUAGUUUUCCUGAAUAUCUGCAACUCUUUCUUUGGCCAGUUGGUGGUGCUGAAGGAAGUGGACUUUGACAACAUUUGUUGGUUGUGACCAUCCUAUCCUAGCUAUGAAAACUGAUUUCUUCACACACAAAUCCCUGACCAACAUUGAAUGAAUCUUCUUGAGAGUUGGAUGAAAGUAUUCCAAAGAGACCUUUGGCCUAAAUUUGGAAGGCAGAUACCAACGGGUGGGUGAAAUUGUAUCUCCUGUUACAUUGCAGACGUGAGAGGAUAUUUAGAAUCUUGGUCUAGGUCUAGGACAAGGGUCUUCAAACUUGGCAAGUUUAAAACUUGUGGGCUUCAACUCCCAGAAUUCCUGAGCUAACAUGACUAGAGGAGGAAUUCUGGGAGUUGAAGUCCAUAAGUCUUAAAGCUAUCAGUUUGAAGAUCCCUGAUCUAGUAUGUUUCUCAACCGUAGGAACUUCAAGAUGAAUGGAUUUCCAACUCCUGGCUGGGGAAUUUGGAGAAUUGAAGUCCACACAUCUUAAAAGUUGCUAUAGUUGAGAAACAUUAGGAUGUCAGGUUGACUUUCCUUCCCAUAAUUCCCCUAGAAGUCAUCCCGGCACAGCCCUUUUCAGGGGCAGGAUUAUGGGAAUGUCAGAAUUAUAACUGGCUUGUCCUCUUUUCAGCUGAUUCCAUCUUCUGCUCUCCUUGUUAAAAUACCCUGCAGUUUUUCUAUUCCCCAAACGGAAAUGACAAAAAAAAAAGUGCCAGUUACAACUUAGUUUGUAGAGCCAAAGCUAUAACCGUGAGAGAGACCCUCAAUCUAGAUUCAGGUCUUGUACAGCAGUUCAGACACUGGAUGAAAUUAAAAUCCCAUUUAGCUGUACAGAUUUGCUGCUGCUUUCCCUUGAAAUGCUGAAAGCCAGAAUAUUUGGAAGGAAAACAAUGCUUCAAUAAAAUAGAGCUUUCUCUACUGUAUAUUUUAAUCGCUUGAUAAGUAGAGCCCUCUCCAAAAUCCCUGUAAGUAACACAAAUAAAAGCUCAUUUGAUGUUUUCCCUCCCCUGUAUAUAAAGCUGUCUGCCCUAUUCAUUCAUUUGCAGGGAAUUUCAUGUUUUGCAACUAUGGCCUUAUAUUCCUGAUCAGCUUGAACACAUUUCGAAUUACAGUUGCUGUGCCAAUAUAUGCCUUUUGCAUCUUGUUAUGUUGGAGACAGAGGCCAAAUGCUUUGUUACAUAUAUAUAUAUAUAUUAAAGAAGCCAAAUGCUAUAUUUG
Molecule: non-coding RNA, 2182 nt
Organism: Pseudonaja textilis
Lineage: Eukaryota; Metazoa; Chordata; Lepidosauria; Squamata; Elapidae
Source: RefSeq, a predicted model, not a curated record